RNAcentral lists this ribosomal RNA (924 nucleotides) under Triticum aestivum (bread wheat). RNAcentral's name for it is "partial small subunit ribosomal RNA". Lineage: Eukaryota; Viridiplantae; Streptophyta; Magnoliopsida; Poales; Poaceae. The record is from RNAcentral.
UCGGCCAUGGAGAUGGAGCUGCCCAAUCUCAACGGCCCGGUGAAGCAAGAAAUCGUUGUGCAUGAUGCAGCAGCCCAAGGAAGAGGAGGUGGUGGUGGCGCAAUCGCGGAGGCGUCGGAACACGGCAUGAGGGGGACGGAGGCCACGCCCACGCCCACCGUGAGGAUUGAGGCCAACAUGCUUGACUGCCCCAUCUGCUCCUCCCCCUUCAAGCCUCCCGUCUUCCAGUGCAAAGGCGGGCAUCUGGCUUGCGGCAGCUGCGUCGCGAAGCUCCCCUGGAAACAGUGCCAGAGGUGCGACCACGGCGGCGACUUCCACGGCUGCCCCUUUGUGGACGCCUUCGUCUCCUCGGCCAGGAUGAAGUGCGACCACCACGGCUGCGGCCGCCAGGUCACCUACCACAAGCUCGACGACCACAAGAGCGCGUGCCCGCUCGCGCCCUGCAGGUGCCCGGUGCCCGGCUGCGGCUUCGAAGGCCCGCCGCCGGCGCUCCCCCUCCACCUCAGCGCCAUCCACUCCAUGCCCGUGCACGCGGUUCAGUACGGCAAGGUGCUCCAGCUCGAGGUGCCGGUGUCGGAGCCGCGGCGCCUGCUGUUCGCGGAGGAGGACGGCCGCGCGUUCCUCGUGGUCGGCGGCUCGCUCGGCCUGGGCGUGCCCAUCGCCUUGUCGGUCGUGUGCAUCAGGGCGGGGGCGUCCCCGCCGCCGCACUACAUGGCCAAGGUGUGGGCGAACGGGCCGCCGGCGGUGGCCAACGACAGGACCGACGCGGUCCGAGCGGAAUUCCAUGUGACGAGCAGCAAGGAGCCCGGCACCGUCGCCGUGGAGGAGCUGACCUUCUUGACGGUGCCACACAAGCUGCUGGCUGGGGCUGGCCCGUCCAGGACGGUGUCCCUCCACGUUCGCAUUGACAAGGUCACCUCCUAA